Molecule: long non-coding RNA, 837 nt
Organism: Hippocampus zosterae (dwarf seahorse)
Lineage: Eukaryota; Metazoa; Chordata; Actinopteri; Syngnathiformes; Syngnathidae
Exons: 2
Source: RefSeq, a predicted model, not a curated record
AGCGCUUUCACAACAGCGGCAGCUCUGUUUAAAAAAAGCACUUUCAGGGAUAUUUAACAUAAAAUAACAAAAAUAGAACAGAACAUUGUCACCUAGGCCUUCUCCUUCUCCUUGAUUCCUAUUGGACAGGAGACUCCAGUCCCACCUAGCCCGCAGUAGCCGCCCGGGUUCUUGCUCAGGUAUUGCUGGUGGUAGUCCUCGGCGUAGUAGAAGGGUUUACCUUCCGCGAUCUCUGUUGUGAUGCUUCCGAAACCUUCUUUAGUCAGAACCUGCACAAGCGCACACACACGCGGCAACAAUCAAUUUUCUUUGCGGGGUGCAAACUGUCCGGUUAUCUACACCAAGGAGCCUCUGCUGUCAUUAUUAGCAAAACAUCAAAUUCUUCAUUUCUGCCCAGUUAGACGAGGUCAAGGUUGACCAUAAAACUAUCCUAUGUCUGGUACAAAACAAGAUUUUAUCAACUGUCUCGAGAGUGGCUUUUUGUAGAUGAGAUAGGACGUCACUUGUGAAGAUGUAUGAACUAACAUGGACGCUGUGUGUUUAUUAAUUUGGGUGUAACACGACCCAUUUGCAUGUGUUAACAUAUUAAGAUGCAUCACAAAAUAGUGGAAUACAGAUUGCAUUGAAAUAGUAAAAUAUGUUUUUAAAAUGUGAGCUAAUUGAUUUGGUGUUGUUCUUAGUGGAUGUAAUUUUUUUUAAAUCAAUAAAUCACUCUUUUUCGGCUUUGGAACCUUUUCUUGCGACGACCACAAAUCAAGGCAACAAAAGCAACAAAAAUGUAUCACAAUGUUGUCAGGAAUGAUUUGACACGUCAAAUAAAUAAAUAAAUGAACUCAA